GAUGAUUGUCAUGGUUCCCAAUGUAUUUGUGAGUGAUUUGGGAGAGUUUGAGACUCUUGAAGACUUUAAAAACCAUUAGAUUGAUGUUGGUCAAAAAUUUGUAUUUCGAGCAUCAGAGGCAAUAUGGAUAGUUCUAUUAGAUUUGAAAUAUCAAUUUUGAGUUUGUAGCAAUGGUAGUUCAGGUUCAGAGCCUUUAUUUUGUAUUUCAAUCCUUCAUUUGAAAAAUAAGUAAAAGUACCUAGAUAGGGUCUCAACGGAUAAUUUGUUGUAUAAAACUUCUUUUCCAAAAUUCGAUAUUUACAUUGUGUUCUGAACAUCAAAAAAAUCCUUGAAGAAUAUAUGAUUUACUUCUGUGGGGUCCUAAAUGAAUCUUGAGGUUUAAAUUGGUAUAAUUUCUCUAAAGAUUCCAACUGCUGGUGCAAUAUUUUCUAUUACAUCGGGCCCUAUAUUAGGAUCAUGUGGACACGGGUUGUGAUUGCAUACCAUGAUGAUAGCCUUCAUAGCAAUUGUAUGAUGGUGGUACUGUGAUUGUGAUAGGUAAUCGAUAGACCAGGUCGGAUUAACCAAUGCGGUCACGAGGCCUUCCUCUUGCAAUUAC
Molecule: long non-coding RNA, 598 nt
Filed under: Capsicum annuum
Lineage: Eukaryota; Viridiplantae; Streptophyta; Magnoliopsida; Solanales; Solanaceae
Description: long non-coding RNA (CANN_LNC021339)
Source: RNAcentral